This 276-nucleotide non-coding RNA is filed under the name Bacillus sp. (in: firmicutes). RNAcentral describes it as "Bacillus sp. T-box sequence". It matches the Rfam family "T-box leader". From Rfam's summary of the family: Uncharged tRNA acts as the effector for transcription antitermination of genes in the T-box leader family. T-boxes are found upstream of many aminoacyl-tRNA synthetase genes and some amino acid biosynthetic genes usually in Gram-positive bacteria. Lineage: Bacteria; Bacillati; Bacillota; Bacilli; Caryophanales; Bacillaceae. The record is from RNAcentral.
CAGUUGGCGAUGAAGAGAAAAGUAAAGUGGCAAGGUUCCUUACAGAGAGCUUCGAUAGCUGAGAAGAAGCGGAAAACUACUACUUGAAAAUGGCCUCUGAGCUCUGCAUUGAACGUGCGCUAAUUCGCAUUAGUAGAUGGCAGCGGGAUUUGGUAUCCGUUAUCUAUACCACAAGUCUAAAAUCCUGUUGGACCGGAUUUUGCACUUGCUGAGAUUGUCCUUGUGAAUGGGCAAUGAACCAAAGGUGGUACCACGGGAAUCGAUCCUGUCCUUUGC